UUCUGCGUUACAAUAAAAACAAAUGCGGUGAGUACAUUCACUCUUAUGAAAUUAAUACAGCCUCAGAAACCUAAUUAGACCCAAAUGGCUAUUUUCUUUUUCUUUGGGCUUGGCAAGUCAUUCUGACUAUUUAAAAAAAAAAACCACAAUGUGUUUCCAUUUGGCUCCUUCCUGCAUUUGAAUUCUCUCUAACUUUGCCGUCAAAGCCAAUUUGCCUUGGAUCAUGUUUCCCAAAUGUAGUUCUGCCUCCGCAUUAUUAAAACAGAGUGUUUUCAGUUUGUCUCUGAGAUAGAACAGGCCCGCAGUGCCUAAGGUAUAACACACAGAGACACUUCUAUGUCCCAGCAUUCCUACCCUCUUCGAUUUGUGACUAUGCCCUGCAGUAGCCAGUUCUCUUUCUGGUGCGAGACUUCAAAAAGAAUUCUUCAAGUUCAGUACUUGUGAAAGCUGCCAGAUGGACAGUGUGGGAGAAUUAAAUCAUACAGACACAGCAAAGGCAAAAGCAGUGUAUGCUCCUUGUGCCAACAUGCCUCAGCUCUGACCUUCAGGAACUUCUUCUAAGGCUAAAUAUUUCAUUCCAAACACCCUAGUCAAGCCCUCUUAAAAUAACAGCCUGUAAAAAGUCUGAAUGUCAAUCACGUCAGACAACUGUAAAAGGCGUCGCAAUAGUGUAACCGUCUGUCUCCUCUCCCACCUUAUUAAAUCCAACAGGAGCCCUGCAACAGCAAAAAUGAACUCACCAUUUACAACAGCAUUGCCUGUCCCUCCACAUGCAGCAUCCUUUAUCUUCCCAAUCUUGAAUGGAUUGUGCAGGUGGUUACAUAAACUAUGGAUGCGUCCUCCGUCUGCUGGACUGAGGUCAUGGUGUAUGUGAUCUCACAGCUGGAAAAUGAACUAUGUUCAGUUGAAUGAGGCCGAAGGAGAAGACAACUGAUUGCGGAAAGUGGCAAAGCUGAAAUAAUCCAUCUUGAACUACAAAACUUUUAAGGGGUGCAUACCUAAAGGAAUCCAGUCAUCCCAGAGCUGAAGAACUAGAUAUGACACAGAAGCUAGCCACUCAACAGGUCUCAAAGGAAGUCAGUGUCAUCCCAUUUUACUGAUGGGGAAACUGAGGCGGGACAUGCCUUGCCCAGUCAUCCAGCAGGCAAGCAGCAGAGCCAGGAAAAGAACUCAAGUAUCCUGAGUCCCGGUCCAGUGCUCUGUGCGCUAGGUUACGCUGCCUCCGAAGUGACCUAGUAUUUCUGUUUCCUGACUGGAUGCCAAAAAUACACAUCUCCCACGUGACUUUGAGGCUGAGCUUUUUGCAAACCUUCUUCUCUGUAACAGCCAUCAGCAGAAAGCCAAUGUCCACGAGGAGCAAAGAUGACAGAAGCAAGUUAAAUUUUAAAAAGCAAUUGAAUGUCUGGACUUUUCUGUUUUUUUGCAGUAUUCACUCAGCCUCAGGUCCCUGCUGUAGACUCAAACCUUAAUAAAAAGACUAAUUAAAGGGAUGCAUUAUUUGCACAAGUAAUA
Terrapene triunguis (Three-toed box turtle) is the source of this 1512-nucleotide long non-coding RNA. RefSeq lists it as uncharacterized. Lineage: Eukaryota; Metazoa; Chordata; Testudines; Emydidae. The record is from RefSeq and is a predicted model, not a curated record. The transcript is spliced from 3 exons.